CAAUAGCGUAUAUUUAAGUUGCUGCAGUUAAAAAGCUCGUAGUUGGAUUUCGGGUGGGAAUGGCCGGUCCGCCGUUUCGGUGUGCACUUGCUACGCCCACCUUGCUGGCGGGGACGUGCUCUUGAGUUCACGCUCGGGACACGGAGUCGGCGAGGUUACUUUGAGUAAAUUAGAGUGUUCAAAGCAGGCCUACGCUCUGAAUACAUUAGCAUGGAAUAACACGAUAGGACUCUGGCCUAUCUUGUUGGUCUGUAGGACCGGAGUAAUGAUUAAGAGGGACAGUCGGGGGCAUUCGUAUUUCAUUGUCAGAGGUGAAAUUCUUGGAUUUAUGAAAGACGAACUACUGCGAAAGCAUUUGCCAAGGAUGUUUUCAUUAA
RNAcentral lists this ribosomal RNA (377 nucleotides) under uncultured eukaryote. Its description in RNAcentral is "partial 18S ribosomal RNA". It matches the Rfam family "Eukaryotic small subunit ribosomal RNA", at positions 592 to 976 of the family's 1831-position model. The record is from RNAcentral.